GACGAACGCUGGCGGCGUGCCUAAUACAUGCAAGUUGAGCGCUGAAGGUUGGUACUUGUACCAACUGGAUGAGCAGCGAACGGGUGAGUAACGCGUGGGGAAUCUGCCUUUGAGCGGGGGACAACAUUUGGAAACGAAUGCUAAUACCGCAUAAAAACUUUAAACACAAGUUUUAAGUUUGAAAGAUGCAAUUGCAUCACUCAAAGAUGAUCCCGCGUUGUAUUAGCUAGUUGGUGAGGUAAAGGCUCACCAAGGCGAUGAUACAUAGUCGACCUGAGAGGGUGAUCGGCCACAUUGGGACUGAGACACGGCCCAAACUCCUACGGGAGGCAGCAGUAGGGAAUCUUCGGCAAUGGACGAAAGUCUGACCGAGCAACGCCGCGGGAGUGAAGAAGGUUUUCGGAUCGUAAAACUCUGUUGGUAGAGAAGAACGUUGGUGAGAGUGGAAAGCUCAUCAAGUGACGGUAACUACCCAGAAAGGGACGGCUAACUACGUG
RNAcentral lists this ribosomal RNA (497 nucleotides) under uncultured bacterium. Its description in RNAcentral is "partial 16S ribosomal RNA". It matches the Rfam family "Bacterial small subunit ribosomal RNA", at positions 28 to 507 of the family's 1533-position model. The record is from RNAcentral.